AGGAUCCGCGCUGCAUUAGCUAGUUGGUAAGGUAACGGCUUACCAAGGCAACGAUGCAUAGCCGACCUGAGAGGGUGAUCGGCCACACUGGAACUGAGACACGGUCCAGACUCCUACGGGAGGCAGCAGUAGGGAAUCUUCCGCAAUGGGCGAAAGCCUGACGGAGCAACGCCGCGUGAGUGAUGAAGGUCUUCGGAUCGUAAAACUCUGUUAUUAGGGAAGAACAUAUGUGUAAGUAACUGUGCACAUCUUGACGGUACCUAAUCAGAAAGCCACGGCUAACUACGUGCCAGCAGCCGCGGUAAUACGUAGGUGGCAAGCGUUAUCCGGAAUUAUUGGGCGUAAAGCGCGCGUAGGCGGUUUUUUAAGUCUGAUGUGAAAGCCCACGGCUCAACCGUGGAGGGUCAUUGGAAACUGGAAAACUUGAGUGCAGAAGAGGAAAGUGGAAUUCCAUGUGUAGCGGUGAAAUGCGCAGAGAUAUGGAGGAACACCAGUGGCGAAGGCGACUUUCUGGUCUGUAACUGACGCUGAUGUGCGAAAGCGUGGGGAUCAAACAGGAUUAGAUACCCUGGUAGUCCACGCCGUAAACGAUGAGUGCUAAGUGUUAGGGGGUUUCCGCCCCUUAGUGCUGCAGCUAACGCAUUAAGCACUCCGCCUGGGGAGUACGACCGCAAGGUUGAAACUCAAAGGAAUUGACGGGGACCCGCACAAGCGGUGGAGCAUGUGGUUUAAUUCGAAGCAACGCGAAGAACCUUACCAAAUCUUGACAUCCUUUGACAACUCUAGAGAUAGAGCCUUCCCCUUCGGGGGACAAAGUGACAGGUGGUGCAUGGUUGUCGUCAGCUCGUGUCGUGAGAUGUUGGGUUAAGUCCCGCAACGAGCGCAACCCUUAAGCUUAGUUGCCAUCAUUAAGUUGGGCACUCUAAGUUGACUGCCGGUGACAAACCGGAGGAAGGUGGGGAUGACGUCAAAUCAUCAUGCCCCUUAUGAUUUGGGCUACACACGUGCUACAAUGGACAAUACAAAGGGUAGCGAAACCGCGAGGUCAAGCAAAUCCCAUAAAGUUGUUCUCAGUUCGGAUUGUAGUCUGCAACUCGACUACAUGAAGCUGGAAUCGCUAGUAAUCGUAGAUCAGCAUGCUACGGUGAAUACGUUCCCGGGUCUUGUACACACCGCCCGUCACACCACGAGAGUUUGUAACACCCGAAGCCGGUGGAGUAACCUUUUAGGAGCUAGCCGUCGAAGGUGGGACAAAUGAUUGGGGUAA
RNAcentral lists this ribosomal RNA (1267 nucleotides) under Staphylococcus aureus. Its description in RNAcentral is "bacterial SSU rRNA". It matches the Rfam family "Bacterial small subunit ribosomal RNA", at positions 226 to 1483 of the family's 1533-position model. Lineage: Bacteria; Bacillati; Bacillota; Bacilli; Caryophanales; Staphylococcaceae. The record is from RNAcentral.